This 16515-nucleotide long non-coding RNA is filed under the name Populus tremula. Its description in RNAcentral is "long non-coding RNA (PTRE_LNC000811)". The record is from RNAcentral. Lineage: Eukaryota; Viridiplantae; Streptophyta; Magnoliopsida; Malpighiales; Salicaceae.
AAGAAUGAAGAUAGGCGCAGGGAAUACAAAAUUCUCUGAAAGUCUGCUGCCUAUGAGGAAGGCUUUCAACAAUACAUUCAUUGUUGCUGGUGGUUAUGACAGGGAAGAUGGAAACAAAGCUCUUGAAGAGAACCGUGGAGACCUUGUCGCUUAUGGUCGCUUGUUCUUGGCAAAUCCAGAUUUGCCGAGGAGAUUUGAACUUGAUGCUCCUCUCAACAACUACAACAGAGAAACAUUUUACACACAUGAUCCUGUUGUUGGUUACACUGAUUAUCCUUUCCUUGAAGCCUCUGCGUAGGGUUUUCAGUCACCGUAGUCGAAACUUGUAUUCUCUAAUUCAUUCAAUUAUUGUUUCUAUGAGUUUAAAUGUUAUAAUUCAAUAAUAAAAGUAGAUUGGAGACCAGCAAUACACAUUUCAGAUUGAACUGGAUACUAUGAAGUAAUACAGUUUUCAAUUACAAUAGAUAUUUGUAAGAAAGAUAAAAAUUUAAGUUAUAAAGAAAAAAAUAGUAUUUUUUAUCCGAAUUUUCCUUUUUGAUUCAUGUAUUUUUUUUAUUUUGACAAAAAUAAAUAUUUUUUUGUUAGUAAUAUGUUUUUAUAAAUAAAAAUUAAAGGCAAUUAAAAUAAAAAUGUAUAAAAAAUCUUAAUAAUUUAAAUUAUGAAAACAAUGUAUAUUUUUCAAUCAAAACGCUUUCUAUAUUCAUGUAUUUUGUUUUUGAUAAAAAUGUGAUUUUUAUUAGAGGUAUAGUUUUUUUUUAAAAAAACAAAUUAUCAUAUUUCAUAAAAAAACAAAAAACAAUCAUGACUCAAUAAUUUUUAUACUUGUAUAAAACAAAUAGAGUAAUUAAUGUGAUGAAAUUAUAUAAAAUAUUUAAAAUAAAAAAUAAAUAUUUUAUUUCCUUUUAAAUAUUCAUUAGUAUAUUAAAAACAAUUUGUGUAUUGGGUUCAUAUAGUAAUUUAUAUUCCCAUAAAAGAUCUAAUAGUUAGAUAAUGUUUUAAGUACAAUUUUAAUAAUUGUUUUUAUAUUGAACUUUAUGCUAAAUUAAAAUAAAUAAUUACAAAGAAAGUUAAAUAGCUUUUUAAAUAGAGGCUAGGGUCUUGGGCUUAAAAGGACAAAUCCACAAGACUAGCUUAAAAAAACAAUUAUAGGUGGAUUUAAAUUUUUUUAUUUGUUUUUUUUAUAGAAAAAAAAUGUUUUUGAGAGCUAUUUUAAAUAAAAUUUGGGUAAAUAAUGUAUCAUCAACUAUGUAAUUUAUGUUACCUCCAAUGAUAAAAAGAAAAAAAAGAAAAAAAAGAAGAAGAAGUAAGGUUUAAGUUUUUAGAUUUUAGAAAUCAAUUUUAAAUUUAUUUUAACCUAAAAUCACCCCAAAAACAUUAAAAGAUUCUUAGGAAACCAUCUUUGACCAUAAAAUACCCUUUGACCAAUUUAGAAUAAAAAAUAAAUGCAAAUAAAAAACUUUUAUGAUUAUCGAUAUACUUUUAUAAUUAUUUAAGGGAGAAAACAAUUUCAUCAAAAUUUCUAUUCAAAGUGAAUCCAUUGACAUUAAAAAUAGUCUUAUUAGUAACUAGAAUGUGGGUAGCUGAAAAGUUUCUCUCUUCUUCUUUUUAUUAAGUGACUUUCUCUCUUAUUUCUUAACAUAUAGUGAUUAAAAUACAAGGAAAAUAAAGUUUCAAAACCAAGAUGCAAACUCUUGAAACUACAUGAACUAAAUAAAUGGAAAAACAAAUUCAGGAAUACUCGAUUAACAAUUGCAACAAUUUGAGUCUUAGGUUAUAAUAGUUAAACAAUUUUGUUUCAUCUGAUAAAAAUAAACCUUUGAAAAUUAAUAGAAAAUAUAAAACAUGGAGUUACAACCUAGUUUUUUUAAAAACUAAGAAUCUUAAAAUAUAGAUUGGUUCCAAAGAUCGUAGAAAGAGAUUGAUUAUACUUAAGGGAAUAUAAAAAUCACAUUUACCAUAUUCCUUUCUGAGAAGAUGUUACUUUAAUUAUGUGUUUCUCCUAUAUUAAUUUUACAUGUUAUUUACUGUCUAAAUUAUAUUCCCAGCUUAUUCACAAAUCGUUUAGUUUUUAUAGAUGCUCAUAAAGUUAAUAUGAGACCAGAAAUCACGAGUCUCGCAACUUGAUGAUUUUAUUUUUAGUUUUUUAUAUAUAUAUUUCUUGACUUUUUUAUCAUCACUAUUUAUUAUUUAUUUUAUUACAAAACAAAGUUGAAAACAAUACUAUGCUUGAUCCGCGUUGGACCCUACUCAAAGGAUACUUGUGGACUUACUAUUGACCUUGUUAUUAGUUUAAAACAUCAUGAUAGGCCCACGUCGACCCUAAAACUUGAAGACACGUCAACUUAACCAUUAAAAUCCAAAUUUAAGCUUAAUAAAAACUUGAUGUUAACUUGACCAAAACUCAUCAACCCAUUAUUAAACUCAUUUUAAGGUUAAAAUAUCAUGUUAGGUCUAUAUCGGUCUCUAAAAACUAAAACACAUCAUCGAUCUAGCUGUUAGGAGUCAAAUUUAAUAAAAAACAUUACUAUACCCAUCAACAUUAUUUUUAUUUUUUGACAAAUAUUUAUAUGCUCAUAUAUAUGUAAAAAUAAAAAAAGAUGCAAUUUUAUAAAAUUAAAUAACAUCAACAUGAAAAAAAUAAAAAAGACAAGAAAGCUAAUCCACUUUAUCCUCUCUUUCUGAAAGUUCCCUCUGGGGGUCUGACCCUCCGCUACCUAAUAUUCCUAACUAAUUGAAUUCAUCAGUCUAUAAGGCUUUUAGUCACUAUGGUCUCUUUCAUCUCGUCCCUUGACCACUUCACCUUCUUUCUUAUUUCUUCUUAUGUUGGUAAAGAUCCAAGCAAUAAGAAUUGUUAUCUUUAAAAGAGAAUAAAUCCAUCUGUCUCCUCAUUAGUCUCAGCAUCAACAGUAGUGCUACUCAUCUCCUCCAACAUAGGAAGGCGAUAAUCCGGGUAGGGCGGCUUUUCGAGAAGCAGAAAGCGGUAAUUUGAUUUCAUACUUUGUUUGGCCUCAUUAAAAAAGUAAAGGGCAGGAGAGGCUGGCCUUCUUUGAUCGGAAAAUGCUGCCAAAAUGGUCAGAAAAAUAAAAUAAACAUGUGUAUUAUUUGCAUUUAUGAAUAGUAAAUAAAAAGGAAGAAAUGAGAGAGAAGAAGUUGCUUUGCAUUAAGGACUUGACUUACCUUGAGGCUAGUUCAAAAUGAGGAAGGAGUUUCUUUGGUGACAAUAAUGGUGUGUAUCAGCAAUGGUGUGGUUCUCGUUCUCGAGUGGUCUUCUCUCUCUACUUCAGGUUUUUAUUUCUCUUAAGAUUUAGCUUUUUUUCUUUGGUUUUUUCUUCUUCUCAUUCUUUUCCCCUUGCUACUAGCCGUUCAGAGCAUCUUUAUAUACCUUUAUUUUCAACCCAAACUCUCUCUCUCUCUCUCCUCUCUCUCUCUAGGUUUAAGCUUUCCUUUCUCUCUAUUUUCUUCUUCUUCUUGUUCCUCUAAUACCAUUUGGAUUAGAUUAAAUUCUUUUUUAUUAGCUCAAACUCUCAUUUAAUCAAUGAACUAAAUUUGUCGGUAAUUCUAUCUAUAAAAAUGACAUGUCAUAUUACUUGUUAGGUUUUUUUUUUUCAUUGUAAUUCUCUUAAUAUAUACCAAGGUAAUAUUUCUGUCGAUGUUUACCGAUGGAUACAACAAGAGCAUAUUCAAUUGUAAAAAUUUGCCGCUAUAUACCCACACAAAUAUUUCAUCAGUGUGUCCAUAUGCAUUGAUAAUUUUUAAUAGUGUAUUCAAAGAAUUAUAUAACUUGUUUUGAUGAUGAUGAUGAUAAUGAAAAACUACACCUUUCCAUGAUUCAAAAUAAACCCUCUAUUUUUUUUUUUAAAUUUAGUUGUCUAUAUAGAAGUUGAUUACAUCUAAAACAUAUAAAUAAGUCCAAGUCUUGUAAAUUAAAAGGGAACUGGGCCGCACUACCAUAAUCGUUGAUGAAAGAUACAAAAUUAUUAAAUAUUAUGAAUCUUCUUAUCAAGCUAGAAACAACCAUUGGACUUGAAUUUAAAAUUAGAUCUAAAUACAAAGUCUAGAUCUAUAAACACACACAAAAAAAACAUAAUUUAAAACCAUGAAUAAAUAAAUAAAAAUGAUGUUAUUGCUAGUUAUUUACUAAAUGAUAGCUUUAGAAAAAACCAGGUUUAAGAUUUUUUUUUUAAGAGUCAGAAACAAAGGCGAGAGGCAUAAAAUUUUAAAAGUAUUUUUAAAAUAAAAUAAAAUAUUUUGUUAUUGUUGAAAGUUUUUUUUAUAUAUAGUAUAGAAUCGUAUAAAAGAGUUGACAUUAUUUAAAAAUAUCAAAACAUUAGCCCAAAAACAAUUAUAGUUGUUGGGUAUAUAUACAUUGUGCUUAUAAAUUUUUUUGUUUUUUGAGGUUUAGAGUUGUUUUUCCAUUGUUUAUAGUCAUAACAAGUGUUAUAUAACAUUUGAUUAUAACUUAUAACUUCAAAAUACAAUAAAAAAAUCAAUACAAGAACUUUAAUAUUUUGAUUAAAUAUUUAUCUUGUUGUUCUAAGAUUAAGGCAACAAUAACACCUAGGAGAUGAAUUAUGUGUUCCAAAGAUUUAAAUUUUAAAUUUUAAAAUAAAAAAGCUUUAAAAUUUAAGUUCUGAAAUUAAAAAGAUUUGAAAUUUGAGUAUCAAAAUAAAAUAAAAAUUUCAAAAUUGAAAUAAAAAUAAUAAUAAAUGGGAAUUUAAUGCUUAGGGUUUCAAGAUUCAAGGAGCAACAUUAUAAAUAGGUGUGAAAAAAAGAAGCUAUCUUUUGUUGUUGAUAAAAUAUUUUAUAUGAAGUUAUAUUUAAGGUAAAACCUAUGUGUAAAUGAUAACUACCUUAUGAUGAAAUGGAGUUAAGUAGAUUCAAUAAUUACUAGAAUUCAAAGAGAACAUUAGUAGUAUUUUAAAAUUCAAAAAAGAUAAAUUAUAAAUAAUAAGUAAAUUUUUAACUUUCCAUGAUAAAUAGUAAGUAAAUUCAAACCUAGGUCAUGAGACCAAAUAACCCAAUAGAAAAGAAAACUAAAACAAAUUAUUAAAUUUAAUUAUCAAUCAACCAAAUAUUGAAAAAUAAAAUUGACUGGUUAACCUAAGUUGACUCGAUUCAUUUUAUUUAUUUAUUUUAAUUGGUUUGUUUUUUUAAUUUCAUCCUUCAACAUUGAAUUUAUUAAGAAUUGAGUUUUAUAAUUUAUUUUGAAUUUGUUUUUUUAUGAGAUUAUUAUGGUCUCUUGACUCGACAUGCGGAUUAAUAGGUUAACUCGAGUUGAUUCGAAUCGAUCCUAAAUGUUAUAAUCUCAAUAUUAAAAAACAAAAUCUCAUAUUGAAUAUUUGUUUUUAGUCAAACUAUAUUUUUACCAGUCAUUUAGUUUGCCUUUAAAUCCAUCAAGUUAAUUGGGUCACACAUCAUGUCAAUCCUCAUACGUUUAAUUAUUUUUUUCAACUAAAAAUACAUUAAAAUUUUUAAAGUUACAAUUUUUUUUUAUCCAACCCCAAAAUAUCUAUUAUUUUCUAAAGGAUUGAAGAAAAGGCAUGAAGCAAACAAAUUACAAAUGAUUUAGAGGAUUUGAAAUUAUAUUUCGAUACUACUAAUUAUUGCUAUAAUAUCAUGUGACAAGCUCAAAUAAAUUUAAUGUUUUACAAAAAAAAAAAAAAAAACUAUACAAUAGAUGAAAAAAAAAGUGUAGUCAUCUCCUAUAUUAGUAAAUGUAUCAAAGUUGUGUUGUGAGUAAAAUCUUAGAUUAAUCUCGAACGAAAAAAAAACCAAUAUUAUAACUUUAUUUUUUGAUAUUAUAAAUUUUUUUAACAGAGAAAUGAAAAGCUGAUGUCUGAUUUUAAUAUAAUAAAUUAAAAUAUAUUAAUUGAUAAAUAAAUAAAAAUUAAAAAUGCUAAUUAAAAACUAAAACUAGUUCUUUUCAAUAAAAAAUAGAAGAUACGUACAAAUGAAAAUAUUUUACCUCGUAAUCAUUUCAAUUUUCAUUUGUACCAUUCUCAGCUAGCUAAUGGUAUCUCAAACGGAGGACUCAAAUUGGAAUUGGAAUAGAUAGUAGAGGGACAGACAAUGCAUGAAAGUAACAGCUGGGGGACUCAAUUAAUCAAAAUGAAAUAGUACAAGGACCACAUAUGAUUUGUAUUAGAACAGUAGCAACUCGUCCGUGGGCUGAAUGACCACUAUCUGAAUUCUUCUAUUUCUGCGUCCAGGUUCAAAAUAAUUAUAAUAAAGAUGAAUUCUACCUUCAAAUUGGUUCCCUCCUCUGUAAUACGUACCUUCAAACGUCAUCACUUUUUUUUUCAAAGUCAAAAAGAAGCAUUUAAAACUAAAAUAGCCCCCUACGCUUACCUGGUUCUCUCAUACCUACUCCAACAAUUUCUUGGUGAACAAACACAAUAACAAGUAAUCAACUGCAGAAAGAAUGGUUGCUGGGACUCCCACGAUGCCUCUUCUCACCCCAUACAAGAUGGGCAGGUUUAAUCUUUCUCACAGGUACUUGAUUACUCACGUUAUCUCCCUUUUCUUUAAUGUACAGUAUGAUUUCGUGUAUAUCCAUUUCCUUGAGUUUGCAUGGUUUGAUGUAGAUGACACGCUGUGAUCUCAGUUUGCUUUUCUGUUUUCAGCAGCAAAAUGCUGCUUUUGUAUUCAGAAUUCUUCUGUGAAGUCUUGUUGAUCAUUAAAAAUCGAUAUGUAUGACACGAAGAAAUUAGUAUAUGACCUUUCCUUUUUCUUUCUUCUUGAUUUUUCUGUUUCAUUUGAUAUGUUGGGUAAUGAAUUUGUUACAAGAUCAUCCAAAACUUUUUGGCUAUUGGGUCAAGCUUUAGGUAAUUUACCCUUUUCAUCACCAACUCAUGGCCGGGAAAUAUAAGCAUGUAAAUUCCCAGGUUAAAUAAAUAGUUAAUGCAGUGGAUAUACUGCUUUCUUUGAAAAUCAUUUUAAUUAUAACUACUUCGGUGAUUUCAUGUUUUUUUCAGAAUUGUCCUGGCACCAUUGACUAGACAGAGAUCUUACGAUAAUGUUCCUCAGCCGCAUGCCGUUCUAUACUACUCCCAGAGAGCAACAAAGGGGGUCUUCUGAUAUCUGAAGCCACUGGAGUUUCUGACACAGCACAAGGGUAAUUCAUCAGCCAUGCCUGAUGCCAUACUCAAUCAAAUUCAAUAUUAAUUUGAUCUUGUUACACUGACACUUCAGUGUGUUCAUAAUCUUACAUAUGAAUAUAUAUAGGUACCUACAUGCUCCAGGUAUUUGGACCAGAGAGCAAGUCGAAGCAUGGAAACCCAUUGUGGAUGCUGUCCAUGCCAAAGGAGGUAUUUCUUCUGUCAAAUUUGGCAUGUUGGGAGGGUGUCAAAUAGCGGUGAGUUAUUGCCUUAAUCUCUUUGAUGCAUAAAUUUUAAUUCUGGUAUGUUAAAGUUCUGUUUCCAGUAUCUGUAACAAUGAUUAAUGCUGCUUUGUUCAUGGGCUAUACUUGUUAGUUAACAUGAUUAGCAAAGUCAUUUUCAAAAAAUGAAAAGAUUAAUAUGGUUACUAAUUAAUUUUUCUAUAUUAUUGGCAUUUGCAGGUUUUCCAGCCAGAUGGGCAAGCUCCAGUCUCUUCUACAGACAAGCCAAUAUCUUCUCAACGAAGGCAUGGAGUUCACACCUCCGAGGCGUCUAAGGACAGAUGAAAUCCCUCAAAUAGUCAAUGAUUUCAGAAUUGCUGCGAGGAACGCAAUAGAAGCUGGUAAACUUUCUUUCUCAGAUAUUUUGGAAACUCUGAAUUUUAUUACAGGAUUUUAACAAGCUGAACAAUACACGAUUGCACAGCAUUUUAACAAGCUUGUUCUGCGCUUUUUAUAGGUUUUGAUGGAGUUGAGAUCCAUGGGGCUCACGGAUAUCUAAUUGACCAGUUUAUGAAAGAUCAAGCAAACAACAGAACAGACCAAUAUGGUGGAUCACUGGAGAACCGCUGCCGAUUCCCUUUGGAGAUAGUUGAGGCUAUAGCGAAUGAGAUAGGAUCAGAUAAAGUUGGAAUAAGACUGUCUCCUCAUGUAAACUAUAUGGAAUCAGAGACUCAGAUCCUGAAGCACUAGGGCUCCACAUGGUUAAAUCCUUGAAUAAAUACGGUAUUGCUUACUGCCACAUGGUUGAGCCAAGAAUGAAGAUAGGCGCAGCGAAUACAAAAUUCUCUGAAAGUCUGCUGCCUAUGAGGAAGGCUUUCAACAAUACAUUCAUUGUUGCUAGUGGUUAUGACAGGGAAGAUGGAAACAAAGCUCUUGAAGAGAACCGUGGAGACCUUGUCGCUUAUGGUCGCUUGUUCUUGGCAAAUCCAGAUUUGCCGAGGAGAUUUGAACUUGAUGCUCCUCUCAACAAGUACAACAGAGAAACAUUUUACACACAUGAUCCUGUUGUUGGUUACACUGAUUAUCCUUUCCUUGAAGCCUCUGCGUAGGGUUUUCAGUCACCGUAGUCGAAACUUGUAUUCUCUAAUUCAUUCAAUUAUUGUUUCUAUGAGUUUAAAUGUUAUAAUUCAAUAAUAAAAGUAGAUUGGAGACCAGCAAUACACAUUUCAGAUUGAACUGGAUACUAUGAAGUAAUACAGUUUUCAAUUACAAUAGAUAUUUGUAAGAAAGAUAAAAAUUUAAGUUAUAAAGAAAAAAAUAGUAUUUUUUAUCCAAAUUUUCCUUUUUGAUUCAUGUAUUUUUUUAUUUUGACAAAAAUAAAUUUUUUUUUGUUAGUAAUAUGUUUUUAUAAAUAAAAAUUAAAGGCAAUUAAAAUAAAAAUGUAUAAAAAAUCUUAAUAAUUUAAAUUAUGAAAACAAUGUAUAUUUUUCAAUCAAAACUCUUUCUAUAUUCAUGUAUUUUGUGUUUUUGAUAAAAAUGUGAUUUUUAUUAGAGGUAUAGUUUUUUAAAAAAAAAAACAAAUUAUCAUAUUUCAUAAAAAAACAAAAAAACAAUCAUGACUCAAUAAUUUUUAUACUUGUAUAAAACAAAUAGAGUAAUUAAUGUGAUGAAAUUAUAUAAAAUAUUUAAAAUAAAAAAUAAUAUUUUAUUUCCUUUUAAAUAUCCAUUAGUAUAUUAAAAACAAUUUGCGUAUUGGGUUCAUAUAGUAAUUUAUAUUCCCAUAAAAGAUCUAAUAGUAAGAUAAUGUUUUAAGUACAAUUUUAAUAAUUGUUUUUAUAUUGAACUUUAUGCUAAAUUAAAAUAAAUAAUUACAAAGAAAGUUAAAUAGCUUUUUAAAUAGAGGCUAGGGUCUUGGGCUUAGAGGACAAAUCCACACGACUAGCUUAAAAAAACAAUUAUAGGUGGAUUUAAAUUUUUUUUAUUUGUUUUUUUUAUAGAAAAAAAAUGUUAUUGAGAGCUAUUUUAAAUAAAAUUUGGGUAAAUAAUGUAUCAUCAACUAUGUAAUUUUAUGUUACCUCCAAUGAUAAAAAAAAAAAAAAAAAAGAAGUAAGGUUUAAGUUUUUAGAUUUUAGAAAUCCAAUUUUAAAUUUAUUUUAACCUAAAAUCACCCCAAAAACAUUAAAAGAUUCUUAGGAAACCAUCUUUGACCAUAAAAUACCCUUUGACCAAUUUAGAAUAAAAAAUAAAUGCAAAUAAAAAAACUUUUAUGAUUAUCGAUAUACUUUUUAUAAUUAUUUAAGGGAGAAAACAAUUUUCAUCAAAAUUUUCUCUUCGAAGUGAAUCCAUUGACACUAAAAAUAGUCUUAUUAGUAACUAGAAUGUGGGUAGCUGAAAAGUUUCUCUCUUCUUCUUUUUUAUUAAGUGACUUUCUCUCUUAUUUCUUAACAUAUAGUGAUUAAAAUACAAGGAAAAUAAAGUUUCAAAACCAAGAUGCAAACUCUUGAAACUACAUGAACUAAAUAAAUGGAAAAACAAAUUCAGGAAUACUCGAUUAACAAUUGCAACAAUUUUGAGUCUUAGGUUAUAAUAGUUAAACAAUUUUGUUUCAUCUGAUAAAAAUAAGACCUUUGAAAAUUAAUAGAAAAUAUAAAACAUGGAGUUACAACCUAGUUUUUUUAAAAAACUAAGAAUCUUAAAAUAUAGAUUGGUUCCAAAGAUCGUAGAAAGAGAUUGAUUAUACGAAAGAGAAUAUAAAAAUCACAUUUACCAUAUUCCUUUCUGAGAAGAUGUUACUUUAAUUAUGUGUUUCUCCUAUAUUAAUUUUACAUGUUAUUUACUGUCUAAAUUAUAUUCCCAGCUUAUUCACAAAUCGUUUAGUUUUUAUAGAUGCUCAUAAAGUUAAUAUGAGACCAGAAAUCACGAGUCUCGCAACUUGAUGAUUUUAUUUUUAGUUUUUAUAUAUAUUUCUUGACUUUUUUAUCAUCACUAUUUAUUAUUUAUUUUAUUACAAACAAAGUUGAAAACAAUACUAUGCUUGAUCCGCGUUGGACCCUACUCAAAGGAUACUUGGACUUACUAUUGACCUUGUUAUUAGUUUAAAACAUCAUGAUAGGCCCACGUCGACCCUAAAACUUGAAGACACGUCAACUUAACCAUUAAAAUCCAAAUUUAAGCUUAAUAAAAACUUGAUGUUAACUUGACCAAAACUCAUCAACCCAUUAUUAAACUUUUUAAGGUUAGAAAUAUCAUGUUAGGUCUAUAUCGGUCUCUAAAAACUAGAAAACACAUCAUCGAUCUAGCUGUUAGGAGUCAAAUUUAAUAAAAAAACAUUACUAUACCCAUCAACAUUAUUUUAUUUUUUGACAAAUAUUUAUAUGCUCAUAUAUAUGUAAAAAUAAAAAAAGAUGCAAUUUUAUAAAAUUAAAUAACAUCAACAUGAAAAAAAUAAAAAAGACAAGAAAGCUAAUCCACUUUAUCCUCUCUUUCUGAAAGUUCCCUCUGGGGGUCUGACCCUCCGCUACCUAAUAUUCCUAACUAAUUGAAUUCAUCAGUCUAUAAGGCUUUUUAGUCACUAUGGUCUCUUUCAUCUCGUCCCUUGACCACUUCACCUUCUUUCUUAUUUCUUCUUAUGUUGGUAAAGAUCCAAGCAAUAAGAAUUGUUAUCUUUAAAAGAGAAUAAAUCCAUCUGUCUCCUCAUUAGUCUCAGCAUCAACAGUAGUGCUACUCAUCUCCUCCAACAUAAGAAGACGAUAAUCUGGGUAGGGCGGCUUUUCAAGAAGUAGAAAGCAGUAAUUUUAUUUUAUACUUUGUUUGGCCUCAUUAAAAAAGUAAAGGGCAGGAGAGGCUGGCCUUCUUUGAUCGGAAAUGCUGCCAAAUGGUCAGAAAAAUAAAAUAACAUGUGUAUUAUUUGCAUUUAUGAAUAGUAAAUAAAAAGGAAGAAAUGAGAGAGAAGAAGUUGCUUUGCAUUAAGGACUUGACUUACCUUGAGGCUAGUUCAAAAUGAGGAAGGAGUUUCUUUGGUGACAAUAAUGGUGUGUAUCAGCAAUGGUGUGGUUCUCGUUCUCGAGUGGUCUUCUCUCUCUACUUCAGGUUUUUAUUUCUCUUAAGAUUUAGCUUUUUUUCUUUGGUUUUUUCUUCUUCUCAUUCUUUUCCCCUUGCUACUAGCCGGUUCAGAGCAUCUUUAUAUACCUUUAUUUUCAACCCAAAACUCUCUCUCUCUCUCUCUCUCUCUCUAGGUUUAAGCUUUCCUUUCUCUCUAUUUUCUUCUUCUUCUUGUUCCUCUAAUACCAUUUGGAUUAGAUUAAAUUCUUUUUUAUUAGCUCAAACUCUCAUUUAUCAAUGAACUUAAAUUUGUCGGUAAUUCUAUCUAUAAAAAUGACAUGUCAUAUUACUUGUUAGGUUUUUUUUUCAUUGUAAUUCUCUUAAUAUAUACCAAGGUAAUAUUUCUGUCGAUGUUUACCGAUGGAUACAACAAGAGCAUAUUCAAUUGUAAAAAUUUGCCGCUAUAUACCCACACAAAUAUUUCAUCAGUGUGUCCAUAUGCAUUUGAUAAUUUUUUAAUAGUGUAUUCAAAAAUUAUAUAACUUGUUUUGAUGAUGAUGAUGAUAAUGAAAAACUACACCUUUCCAUGAUUCAAAAUAAAACCCUCUAUUUUUUUUUUAAAUUUUAGUUGUCUAUAUAGAAGUUGAUUACAUCUAAAACAUAUAAAUAAGUCCAAGUCUUUGUAAAUUAAAAGGGAACUGGGCCGCACUACCAUAAUCGUUGAUGAAAGAUACAAAAUUAUUAAAUAUUAUGAAUCUUCUUUAUCAAGCUAGAAACAACCAUUGGACUUGAAUUUAAAAUUAGAUCUAAAUACAAAGUCUAGAUCUAUAAACACACACAAAAAAAACAUAAUUUAAAACCAUGAAUAAAUAAAUAAAAAUGAUGUUAUUGCUAGUUAUUUACUAAAUGAUAGCUUUAGAAAAAACCAGGUUUUAAGAUUUUUUUUUUUAAGAGUCAGAAACAAAGGCGAGAGGCAUAUAAAUUUUAAAAGUAUUUUUAAAAUAAAAUAAAAUAUUUUGUUAUUGUUGAAAGUUUUUUUUAUAUAUAGUAUAGAAUCGUAUAAAAGAGUUGACAUUAUUUAAAAAUAUCAAAACAUUAGCCCAAAAACAAUUAUAGUUGUUGGGUAUAUAUACAUUGUGCUUAUAAAUUUUUUUGUUUUUUGAGGUUUAGAGUUGUUUUCCAUUGUUUAUAGUCAUAACAAGUGUUAUAUAACAUUUGAUUAUAACUUAUAACUUCAAAAUACAAUAAAGAAAUCAAUACAAGAACUUUAAUAUUUUGAUUAGAUAUUUAUCUUGUUGUUCUAAGAUUAAGGCAACAAUAACACCUAGGAGAUGAAUUAGGUGUUCCAAAGAUUUAAAUUUUAAAUUUUAAAAUAAAAAAGCUUUAAAAUUUAAGUUCUGAAAUUAAAAGGAUUUGAAAUUUGAGUAUCAAAAUAAAAAAAAGUUUCAAAAUUGAAAUAAAAAUAAUAAUAAAUGGGAAUUUAAUGCUUAGGGUUUCAAGAUUCAAGGAGCAACAUUAUAAAUAGGUGUGAAAAAAAGAAGCUAUCUUUUUGUUGUUGAUAAAAUAUUUUAUAUGAAGUUAUAUUUAAGGUAAAACCUAUGUGUAAAUGAUAACUACCUUAUGAUGAAAUGGAGUUAAGUAGAUUCAAUAAUUACUAGAAUUCAAAGAGAACAUUAGUAGUAUUUUAAAAUUCAAAAAAGAUAAAUUAUAAAUAAUAAGUAAAUUUUUUAACUUUCCAUGAUAAAUAGUAAGUAAAUUCAUAACCUAGGUCAUGAGACCAAAUAACCCAAUAGAAAAGAAACUAAAACAAAUUAUUAAAUUUAAUUAUCAAUCAACCAAAUAUUGAAAAAUAAAAUUGACUGGUUAACCUAAGUUGACUCGAUUCAUUUUAUUAUUUAUUUUUUAAUUGGUUUGUUUUUUAAUUUCAUCCUUCAACAUUGAAUUUAUUAAGAAUUGAUUUUUAUAAUUUAUUUUGAAUUUGUUUUUUAUGAGAUUAUUAUGGUCUCUUGACUCGACAUGCGGAUUAAUAGGUUAACUCGAGUUGAUUCGAAUCGAUCCUAAAUGUUAUAAUCUCAAUAUUAAAAAACAAAAUCUCAUAUUGAAUAUUUGUUUUUAGUCAAACUAUAUUUUUACCAGUCAUUUAGUUUGCCUUUAAAUCCAUCAAGUUAAUUGGGUCACACAUCAUGUCAAUCCUCAUACGUUUAAUUAUUUUUUUCAACUAAAAAUACAUUAAAAUUUUUAAAGUUACAAUUUUUUUUUAUCCAACCCCAAAAUAUCUAUUAUUUUCUAAAGGAUUGAAGAAAAGGCAUGAAGCAAACAAAUUACAAAUGAUUUAGAGGAUUUGAAAUUAUAUUUCGAUACUACUAAUUAUUGCUAUAAUAUCAUGUGACAAGCUCAAAUAAAUUUAAUGUUUUACAAAAAAAAAAAAAACUAUACAAUAGAUGAAAAAAAAAGUGUAGUCAUCUCCUAUAUUAGUAAAUGUAUCAAAGUUGUGUUGUGAGUAAAAUCUUAGAUUAAUCUCGAACGAAAAAAAAACCAAUAUUAUAACUUUAUUUUUUGAUAUUAUAAAUUUUUUUAACAGAGAAAUGAAAAGCUGAUGUCUGAUUUUAAUAUAAUAAAUUAAAAAUAUAUUAAUUGAUAAAUUAAAAAAUUAAAAAUGCUAAUUAAAAACUAAAACUAGUUCUUUUCAAUAAAAAAUAGAAGAUACGUACAAAUGAAAAUAUUUUACCUCGUAAUCAUUUCAAUUUUCAUUUGUACCAUUCUCAGCUAGCUAAUGGUAUCUCAAACGGAGGACUCAAAUUGGAAUUGGAAUAGAUAGUAGAGGGACAGACAAUGCAUGAAAGUAACAGCUGGGGGACUCAAUUAAUCAAAAUGAAAUAGUACAAGGACCACAUAUGAUUUGUAUUAGAACAGUAGCAACUCGUCCGUGGGCUGAAUGACCACUAUCUGAAUUCUUCUAUUUCUGCGUCCAGGUUCAAAAUAAUUAUAAUAAAGAUGAAUUCUACCUUCAAAUUGGUUCCCUCCUCUGUAAUACGUACCUUCAAACGUCAUCACUUUUUUUUUCAAAGUCAAAAAGAAGCAUUUAAAACUAUAAAUAGCCCCCUACGCUUACCUGGUUCUCUCAUACCUACUCCAACAAUUUCUUGGUGAACAAACACAAUAACAAGUAAUCAACUGCAAGAAAGAAUGGUUGCUGGGACUCCCACGAUGCCUCUUCUCACCCCAUACAAGAUGGGCAGGUUUAAUCUUUCUCACAGGUACUUGAUUACUCACGUUAUCUCCCUUUUCUUUAAUGUACAGUAUGAUUUCGUGUAUAUCCAUUUCCUUGAGUUUGCAUGGUUUGAUGUAGAUGACACGCUGUGAUCUCAGUUUGCUUUUCUGUUUUCAGCAGCAAAAUGCUGCUUUUGUAUUCAGAAUUCUUCUGUGAAGUCUUGUUGAUCAUUAAAAAUCGAUAUGUAUGACACGAAGAAAUUAGUAUAUGACCUUUCCUUUUUCUUUCUUCUUGAUUUUUCUGUUUCAUUUGAUAUGUUGGGUAAUGAAUUUGUUACAAGAUCAUCCAAAACUUUUUGGCUAUUGGGUCAAGCUUUAGGUAAUUUACCCUUUUCAUCACCAACUCAUGGCCGGGAAAUAUAAGCAUGUAAAUUCCCAGGUUAAAUAAAUAGUUAAUGCAGUGGAUAUACUGCUUUCUUUGAAAAUCAUUUUAAUUAUAACUACUUCGGUGAUUUCAUGUUUUUUUCAGAAUUGUCCUGGCACCAUUGACUAGACAGAGAUCUUACGAUAAUGUUCCUCAGCCGCAUGCCGUUCUAUACUACUCCCAGAGAGCAACAAAGGGGGGUCUUCUGAUAUCUGAAGCCACUGGAGUUUCUGACACAGCACAAGGGUAAAUUCAUCAGCCAUGCCUGAUGCCAUACUCAAUCAAAUUCAAUAUUAAUUUGAUCUUGUUACACUGACACUUCAGUGUGUUCAUAAUCUUACAUAUGAAUAUAUAUAUAUAUAGGUACCUACAUGCUCCAGGUAUUUGGACCAGAGAGCAAGUCGAAGCAUGGAAACCCAUUGUGGAUGCUGUCCAUGCCAAAGGAGGUAUUUUCUUCUGUCAAAUUUGGCAUGUUGGGAGGGUGUCAAAUAGCGGUGAGUUAUUGCCUUUAAUCUCUUUGAUGCAUAACUUUUAAUUCUGUUCCUAGUAUUUUAAAGUUCUGUUUCCAGUAUCUGUAACAAUGAUUAAUGCUGCCUUGUGUUCAUGGGCUAUACUUUCUUGUUAGUUAAUAUGAUUAGCAAAGUCAUUUUCAAAAAAUGAAAACAUUAAUAUGGUUACUAAUUAAUUUUUCUAUAUUAUUGGCAUUUGCAGGUUUCCAGCCAGAUGGGCAAGCUCCGGUCUCUUCUACCGACAAGCCAAUAUCUUCUCAAGUUGAAGGCAUGGAGUUCACACCUCCGAGGCGUCUAAGGACAGAUGAAAUCCCUCAAAUAGUCAAUGAUUUCAGAAUUGCUGCGAGGAACGCAUUAGAAGCUGGUAAACUUUCUUUCUCAGAUAUUUUGGAAACUCUGAAUUUUAUUACAGGAUUUUAACAAGCUGAACAAUACACGAUUGCACAGUAUUUUAACAAUCUUGUUCUGCGCUUUUUAUAGGUUUUGAUGGAGUUGAGAUCCAUGGGGCUCACGGAUAUCUAAUUGACCAGUUUAUGAAAGAUCAAGCAAACAACAGAACAGACCAAUAUGGUGGAUCACUGGAGAACCGUUGCCGAUUCCCUUUGGAGAUAGUUGAGGCUAUAGCGAAUGAGAUAGGAUCAGAUAAAGUUGGAAUAAGACUGUCUCCUCAUGUAAACUAUAUGGAAUCAGAAGACUCAGAUCCUGAAGCACUAGGGCUCCACAUGGUUAAAUCCUUGAAUAAAUACGGUAUUGCUUACUGCCACAUGGUUGAGCCAAGAAUGAAGAUAGGCGCAGGGAAUACAAAAUUCUCUGAAAGUCUGCUGCCUAUGAGGAAGGCUUUCAACAAUACAUUCAUUGUUGCUGGUGGUUAUGACAGGGAAGAUGGAAACAAAGCUCUUGAAGAGAACCGUGCAGACCUUGUCGCUUAUGGUCGCUUGUUCUUGGCAAAUCCAGAUUUGCCGAGGAGAUUUGAACUUGAUGCUCCUCUCAACAAGUACAACAGAGAAACAUUU